AAUAAGUGGCAUCAUUUUAAACAGUGAAGCCAAACUAAUAAAAUGUAAUGAGCAACCAGUGAACAAUACUGGAUUCUGCAAAAACAUAAACAACUGAAUGCAGAAUACUGGACAAACAAAUUCUACAGACAUUUUUCAUUCAUCUAAAUGUAAACCUAAUGUUAACACAGUUAAUGUAUUGACUUAUUUAUGUGUGUAUGCAUGUAUUUAUUGAUUUAUUUAGUACUGUUAACAAAUCAGAGUUCUGAGUGAGUUUUUCUUUAGAUAGGCAAAGGCCAUUUAUUGAUUACAUAUAGGCUAUUAAAUGUUUAUUAAAAACUAUAAAGCAUUAAAAAUAAUAAACAACAUGCAUUUACUGUCAUUAAACUAGUGUAGAGUCUACGACCACAUCAGCAUGAUUAUAAGCAUCCUGUGGUAAAUUCACAACCAGAUACUGGUGUCUCUUACCAUAUGGACUUCAGGAGAUGAUUGGGGAUGAUAAAUAUUAUAAAUGUCGUAGACCACAGACGGUGGUGUUGAUGACUGACGUAGACCACACACGGUGGUGUCGAUGUCUAUGACGUAGACCACAGACGGUGGUGUUGAUGACUGACGUAGACCACAGACGGUGGUGUUGAUGUCUAUGACAUAGACCACAGACGGUGGUGUUGAUGUCUAUGACGUAGACCACAGAAGGUGGUGUCGAUGUCUAUGAUGUAGACCACAGACGGUGGUGUCGAUGUCUAUGAUGUAGACCAUAGACGGUGGUGUUGAUGCCUGACAUAGAGACAUAGACCACAGACGGUGGUGUUGAUGACUGACGUAGACCACAGAUGGUGGUGUUGAUGUCUAUGACAUAGACCACAGACGGUGGUGUUGAUGUCUAUGACGUAGACCACAGACGGUGGUGUUGAUGACUGACGUAGACCACAGACGGUGGUGUCGAUGUCUAUGAUGUAGACAACAGACGGUGGUGUUGAUGACUGACGUAGACCACAGACGGUGGUGUUGAUGUCUAUGACAUAGACCACAGACGGUGGUGUUAAUGUCUAUGACAUAGACCACAGAUGGUGGUGUUGAUGUCUAUGACGUAGACCACAGAUGGUGGUGUUGAUGUCUAUGACAUAGACCACAGACGGUGGUGUUGAUGUCUAUGACGUAGACCACAGAUGGUGGUGUCGAUGACUAUGAUGUAGACCACAGACGGUGGUGCUGAUGACUGACGUAGACCACAGAUGUAAUCAAUUGGAGUCUAGAUAUAUGAUCGUCUGUAAAUAAAACCGGUAAUAUCUCAGCAGCACAAACGAAGCCCGAACCACUCAGCCUGUUUGGAUGUUUUAUGUGAGAAAAGCAAAUCUGAAGAGCAAACGUCCAAUAAGAUUGAUGUGAC
Amphiprion ocellaris (clown anemonefish) is the source of this 1369-nucleotide long non-coding RNA. Lineage: Eukaryota; Metazoa; Chordata; Actinopteri; Pomacentridae. The record is from Ensembl.